Molecule: non-coding RNA, 1419 nt
Organism: Manis javanica (Malayan pangolin)
Lineage: Eukaryota; Metazoa; Chordata; Mammalia; Pholidota; Manidae
Source: RefSeq, a predicted model, not a curated record
AACUUGGCAGGGCGGUCUCUUGCCUGGCGCUUGGCGUUCGCCUGUCCUUGCCAGCCGUCUCCUGCCAACCCCAGCUCCUCCCGGCCCGGUAGGGUGGGCCUCCCUCAGGUCACUUUGAUUGCCGCCUGUGGCCGCUGGCAGAUGCCAGGGAGACCCCCAGCCUCUCCACGCCGCUCUCAGAAGCAGGCUCUGAACGUCACUCCCGCCUCUGUGGGCGGGGCACUGGCCUCCCUCCCCGGCGGCACACUUGGGGAAGGGGUCCCUCUGGCUUCCACGGUGCUUCGAGUCAGUUCCUGGCGCAUUUGCCCUGAGUUAGGAAGGCAUCGAAGAGAGCCCCAGCGCUGGACCCUUUUCUCUUCCUGAGCCCCUUGAGGCCCGUACAUGAUUCAUUCUUUCCCAGAAUAAUUUCGUAACUGCGUUAGGCAUCAGCUCCAUCCUUGUCCUCAAGGAGCGCACAGUCAGGUAGCAAAGAUAGACAUGUAAUCAAGUAACGACACAGUGUGAUGAAUGCAACAAAAUGAAUCAUUGUGAGGUUAAAUGUAAAAAGGUAACAUUAAAGGUGGGGGUUGGGCAGCGGGAGGAUGCAUGAAGGGCUUCCUGAGGUAAGCGUGGUGGGAACUGGGUUUUCAAAGACCCAGGGAAAUCGCUCAAGUGAAUUUCGGGUGGAAAGAACGUCAAUUGCCCCUGACCUGAAUGAGUGACACAAUGGAAGAUAAGCUUAACAGGUAAACUGAUGACAAUAAAGGUUUUAAGAUGGGCUAAGCUGCACUCUUGCCCUUUGGGCCACUGGGUUCAUCUGCAGGGUUUUAAGAGGUGAGCAGUUUCAGAUAUUAUUUUGCUUUUGUGGCUUUCUUAAUUUAAUUUCCAGUAUGUAAUGCAAGUACUUGGAACAACGUUCAAGUUAUAAAAGGGUAUAUACAGUAAUGAGCCUUUCUGUUCUUUCUGGUGGCAACCAUUGUUCUCCAUUUCUUGUGUAAUCUUUUCAGAGUCUGGAAAUAAGUCUUCGAAGAGAUAUUCUAUAGCCCCGUUACUCAAAGUUUGUACCUGAUCAGCAGCAACACCUGGGAAGCUUGUUAGAAAUGCAGAAUCUGCAGAAUGUCAGGCCCUAUCCCAGAUCUGUUGAAUUAGAACCUGCCUUUAAACAAGAUCCUCAUAUAACUCUACAUGAAAAUGUCAGUAGAUUGAGUAAAUCUGCAGAUUACUCUCCAGAAUGUGGAUGGGUCUCAUCCAAUCAGUUGAAAGCCGUAAGAAAACCCAGUGAGGAAAAGGAAUUCUGCCUCCUGACUGCACUUGGAUGCUGUAACACCAGCUCUUUCCUGGGUCUCCAGCCUGCUGGCCCUCCCUGCAGACUUUGGACUUGCUGGCUCCCACAGUCAUGUGAGCCAAUCCUUAAAAUAAAUCUCUUUGUGUAUAUAUACA